GACGAACGCUGGCGGCGUGCUUAACACAUGCAAGUCGAACGGAAAGGCCCUGCUUUUGUGGGGUGCUCGAGUGGCGAACGGGUGAGUAACACGUGAGUAACCUGCCCUUGACUUUGGGAUAACUUCAGGAAACUGGGGCUAAUACCGGAUAUGAGCUCCUGCUGCAUGGUGGGGGUUGGAAAGUUUCGGCGGUGGGGUAUGGACUCGCGGCUUAUCAGCUUGUUGGUGAGGUAGUGGAUUACCAAGGCUUUGACGGGUAGCCGGCAUGAGCGGGUGACCGGGCACAUUAGGACUGAGGUACGGCCCAGACUCCUACGGGAGGCAGUAGUGGGGAAUAUUGCACAAUGGGCGGGAGCCUGAUGCAGAAACGCCGCGUGCGGGAUGACGGCUUUCGGGUUGUAAACCGCUUUCGCCUGUGACGAAGAGGGAGUGACGGUAAUGGGUAAAGAAGCACCGGCUAACUACGUG
RNAcentral lists this ribosomal RNA (468 nucleotides) under uncultured bacterium. RNAcentral's name for it is "partial 16S ribosomal RNA". It matches the Rfam family "Bacterial small subunit ribosomal RNA", at positions 28 to 507 of the family's 1533-position model. The record is from RNAcentral.